Molecule: ribosomal RNA, 447 nt
Filed under: uncultured bacterium
Lineage: Bacteria
Description: partial 16S ribosomal RNA
Rfam family: Bacterial small subunit ribosomal RNA
Source: RNAcentral
AACGAACGCUGGCGGCAGGCUUAACACAUGCAAGUCGAGCGCCCCGCAAGGGGAGCGGCAGACGGGUGAGUAACGCGUGGGAAUCUACCCAUCACUACGGAACAACUCCGGGAAACUGGAGCUAAUACCGUAUACGUCCUUCGGGAGAAAGAUUUAUCGGUGAUGGAUGAGCCCGCGUUGGAUUAGCUAGUUGGUGGGGUAAUGGCCCACCAAGGCGACGAUCCAUAGCUGGUCUGAGAGGAUGAUCAGCCACACUGGGACUGAGACACGGCCCAGACUCCUACAGGAGGCAGCAGUGGGGAAAAUUGGACAAUGGGCGCGAGCCUGAUCCAGCCAUGCCGCGUGAGUGAUGAAGGCCCUAGGGUUGUAAAGCUCUUUCACCGGUGAAGAUAAUGACGGUAACCGGAGAAGAAGCCCCGGCUAACUUCGUGCCAGCAGCCGCCGUAA